GACGAACGCUGGCGGCGUGCCUAAUACAUGCAAGUCGAGCGGACUGAUUAAGAGCUUGCUCUUAUGACGUUAGCGGCGGACGGGUGAGUAACACGUGGGCAACCUGCCCUGUAGAUCGGGAUAACACCGAGAAAUCGGUGCUAAUACCGGGUAAUAUCUGAGAUCACAUGAUCUUAGGUUAAAAGAUGGCUCCGGCUAUCACUACAGGAUGGGCCCGCGGCGCAUUAGCUAGUUGGUAAGGUAAUGGCUUACCAAGGCGACGAUGCGUAGCCGACCUGAGAGGGUGAUAGGCCACACUGGGACUGAGACACGGCCCAGACUCCUACGGGAGGCAGCAGUAGGGAAUCUUCCGCAAUGGACGAAAGUCUGACGGAGCAACGCCGCGUGAGUGAUGAAGGGUUUCGGCUCGUAAAGCUCUGUUGUUAGGGAAGAAACAGUACCGAACGAACUAGGUCGGUACCUUGACGGUACCUAACCAGAAAGCCACGGCUAACUACGUG
RNAcentral lists this ribosomal RNA (500 nucleotides) under uncultured bacterium. Its description in RNAcentral is "partial 16S ribosomal RNA". It matches the Rfam family "Bacterial small subunit ribosomal RNA", at positions 28 to 507 of the family's 1533-position model. The record is from RNAcentral.